Long non-coding RNA from Siniperca chuatsi (mandarin fish), 1471 nucleotides. RefSeq lists it as uncharacterized. The record is from RefSeq and is a predicted model, not a curated record. Lineage: Eukaryota; Metazoa; Chordata; Actinopteri; Centrarchiformes; Sinipercidae. The transcript is spliced from 3 exons.
AUUUGAGCCACAUGUGUGUUUGAGACCAAAUGAAACACACAUUGGGAGGCAGAAGUGCUGCGUCUGCAGUUGCAUUCCUGGAAGCAGACUCACAGGCUGACAAAGAGGGGAUGACUGUCACGGCUGAAAUGAAACUCUACUGAAGAACACUCAGAUAAUGCAUCCUCUGAGGAAGGAAGGCUGCAUUAGUGCCCCACAAGCUUUGCACCGCCAUCUCCUGCAGGGACACUGGUUAUUUUUGGACUGAGGGCAGAUCCCGUUACGACUACGAGAAGACCCCUCAGACGGGAAAUCACCCAGCACGCCACCCAGCAGCUCUUGCAUUCUUGGCUCUCAGCCGCACCGACUGAACGCUGGUUGGUGAUUCAGCCCCAUAUGCAGACGAUGAUCAGAGAGGAAAGCCCAAAAGAACAAGAGAGCCAUCUUCUUUUCAACUCCGGAUGACCUUUUCCCCACUGAAAUCUCCGCACACACCCCUAUGUGCGACAAAUAUAUAUCACCACACCCAGCGAACUUGGGCACGGAGUAGUUUGCUGUACUUGUGCAAGAUAUGACGGGUAUUUUUCCAAGUAGAGAUUGUUAUAGAUGAUCAUACAUUUGGCCAAACAAACAGAAUUGAAGCCAUGAUGACAUAAUUUUGUACAUUCUGAAUUCAAAAUUUGUGAUUUUUGUGUACCCAAAAGAUCUUUAUUUGACUCAGUACAGCAGGAAAUAAAAAAUAAAUAAAUACCUGCAUGCUACAUGUUAAUACCCAGCUCAUCACUCUAUCCAAACUGUAUUUUUAAAUGUAUGAUUUGUGACACAUUUAUGUUUUUUUUUUAAUCUUACUUUAGUUGGUUGGUCUAUUUGUCUCACCGUAAAGUAACAGAUAGAAAUACAUACAUCAGUGUCCUGCAAAGCGAUUCAUGCUUGCAUCUAUUACUCUGUAAGCAUCAGUAAAGCUUAUUUUACAGUUUCUCAUAUUGAGGAAGGCUAAUGUUUGCACAAACUAUGGUUUAAUCCCACAAUGGUCUACUGAGGUGAAAGCAAGAUUAAAUCAAGCUUCUACAUGACUGAAAUAUUUCCUGGAUCAUUUCCGUACACCGGCAAGACACUGCAUAAUAGUCAUGUGUUGUGCUAUUUGUUUCAUAUGAACAUUCCUGGGGUUAACUGAAAAACCACACAGUUAUUAUGUGGGAAAUAUCAAAGGCUGUGCGGCCACCAGGGCUGAAGUGGAGAGCGUGGGAGGUUUGUGACAUACCCCUGAUUUCUCUGCAUCUGCCCACCGAAAACAUGCUUGUACGGUAUUAGUGUGCGUGUGAGUGCAGCUUGUGUGCAUGUCUGUGUAGCUAGGAGAGGGGAGCCAUGCUGGGUCUAAUGAGGCUGUUUGGCUGUUUGGACUUCCACCUAAUUUCAAUGAAGCAUCAUCAUACCCUCAGCCAAACACCUCCCAGGGGAAAUCCUCAGUAAGGCCAUAUGAGAUGUGUGUUAA